RNAcentral lists this ribosomal RNA (407 nucleotides) under uncultured bacterium. Its description in RNAcentral is "partial 16S ribosomal RNA". It matches the Rfam family "Bacterial small subunit ribosomal RNA", at positions 30 to 526 of the family's 1533-position model. The record is from RNAcentral.
AUUGAACGCUGGCGGCAGGCCUAACACAUGCAAGUCGAACGGAGCUGCGGACGGGUGAGUGAGGCCUAGUAAUCUGCCUGUUAGUGGGGUAUAACGUACAGAAGAGUGCGCUAAUGCAGCAUACGAGCAAGUCAGCCUAGGUCGGAUUAGCUAGUUGGUGGGGUAAAGGCUUACCAAGGCGACGAUCCAUAACUGGUCUGAGAGGAUGAUCCGCCACACUGGAACUGAGACACGGCCCAGACUCCUACGGGAGGCAGCAGUAGGGAAUAUUGGACAAUGGGCGAAAGUCUGACCCAGCCAUGCCGCGUGAGUGAAGAAGGUCUUCGGAUUGUAAAGCACUUUAAGUUGGGAGGCGUUACCUACACAAUAAGCCACGGCUAACUUCGUGCCAGCAGCCGCGGUAAUUC